AGGAGUGUGUUACUCGAGACUAUACAUAACUGUUGGAAACAUACAGGUCUAAUAAAACGUGAUCAAGAAGUUACUGAUGAUGAAAAUACCAUACAAGAACUCAAGGCAACUCCUGAGCAAAACUGUUCAUCACUCACUGUCCAAAUGCCAACUGAAGAAUAUGCAAAUAUUGAUUGUGAAGAACCCAUUUUUGAAGGAAUGACAAUCAAUGACAUAGUUCAGUUUUUCAAACCACCCACAGAAAUGGAGGACAAUGAAUCAGAUGAUGAUGAUAAAAUACAACCACACAUAUUUUAUAAAGCAGCUCAGGACAGCAUAAACAAAUUAAAAUGUUUCUUUGAACAGCAUGAUAAAACUGAUAGAGC
This 365-nucleotide long non-coding RNA is filed under the name Androctonus crassicauda. The record is from RNAcentral. Lineage: Eukaryota; Metazoa; Arthropoda; Arachnida; Scorpiones; Buthidae.